RNAcentral lists this ribosomal RNA (497 nucleotides) under uncultured bacterium. RNAcentral's name for it is "partial 16S ribosomal RNA". It matches the Rfam family "Bacterial small subunit ribosomal RNA", at positions 28 to 507 of the family's 1533-position model. The record is from RNAcentral.
GAUGAACGCUGGCGGCGUGCCUAAUACAUGCAAGUCGAGCGAACAGACGAGGAGCUUGCGCCUUUGACGUUAGCGGCGCGCGGGGGAGUAACACGUGUAUAACCUACCUAUAAGACGGGGAAAACCUCGGGAAACCGGAGCUAAUACCGGAUAAUAUAUUGAACCGCAUGGUUGAAUAGUGAAAGACGGUUUUGCUGUCACUGAUCGCGGGUUCCGCGCCGGAUUAGCUAGUUGGUAAGGUAACGGCUUACCAAGGCAACGAUGCGUAGCCGACCUGAGAGGGUGAUCGGCCACACUGGAACUGAGACACGGUCCAGACUCCUACGGGAGGCAGCAGUAGGGAAUCUUCCGCAAUGGGCGAAAGCCUGACGGAGCAACGCCGCGUGAGUGAUGAAGGUCUUCGGGUCGUAAAACUCUGUUAUUAGGGAAGAACAAAUGUGUAAGUAACUCUGCGCGUCUUGACGGUACCUAAUCAGAAAGCCACGGCUAACUACGUG